CCCAGACUCCUACGGGAGGCAGCAGUGGGGAAUAUUGCACAAUGGGCGCAAGCCUGAUGCAGCCAUGCCGCGUGUGUGAAGAAGGCCUUCGGGUUGUAAAGCACUUUCAGUAAGGAGGAAAGGUUGGAUGUUAAUAGCAUUCAGCUGUGACGUUACUUACAGAAGAAGCACCGGCUAACUCCGUGCCAGCAGCCGCGGUAAUACGGAGGGUGCGAGCGUUAAUCGGAAUUACUGGGCGUAAAGCGUACGCAGGCGGUUUGUUAAGCGAGAUGUGAAAGCCCCGGGCUCAACCUGGGAACUGCAUUUCGAACUGGCAAACUAGAGUGUGAUAGAGGGUGGUAGAAUUUCAGGUGUAGCGGUGAAAUGCGUAGAGAUCUGAAGGAAUACCGAUGGCGAAGGCAGCCACCUGGGUCAACACUGACGCUCAUGUACGAAAGCGUGGGGAGCAAACAGGAUUAGAUACCCUGGUAGUCCACGCCGUAAACGAUGUCUACUAGAAGCUCGGUUCCUCGGAACUGUUUUUCAAAGCUAACGCAUUAAGUAGACCGCCUGGGGAGUACGGCCGCAAGGUUAAAACUCAAAUGAAUUGACGGGGGCCCGCACAAGCGGUGGAGCAUGUGGUUUAAUUCGAUGCAACGCGAAGAACCUUACCUACACUUGACAUACAGAGAACUUACCAGAGAUGGUUUGGUGCCUUCGGGAACUCUGAUACAGGU
This 716-nucleotide ribosomal RNA is filed under the name Pseudoalteromonas sp. MMRF722. Its description in RNAcentral is "bacterial SSU rRNA". It matches the Rfam family "Bacterial small subunit ribosomal RNA", at positions 330 to 1039 of the family's 1533-position model. The record is from RNAcentral. Lineage: Bacteria; Pseudomonadati; Pseudomonadota; Gammaproteobacteria; Alteromonadales; Pseudoalteromonadaceae.